RNAcentral lists this ribosomal RNA (464 nucleotides) under Vreelandella stevensii. RNAcentral describes it as "partial 16S ribosomal RNA". It matches the Rfam family "Bacterial small subunit ribosomal RNA", at positions 338 to 795 of the family's 1533-position model. Lineage: Bacteria; Pseudomonadati; Pseudomonadota; Gammaproteobacteria; Oceanospirillales; Halomonadaceae. The record is from RNAcentral.
CCUACGGGUGGCAGCAGUGGGGAAUAUUGGACAAUGGGCGAAAGCCUGAUCCAGCCAUGCCGCGUGUGUGAAGAAGGCCUUCGGGUUGUAAAGCACUUUCAGUGGGGAAGAAAGCCUUGGGGCUAAUACCCUCGAGGAAGGACAUCACCCACAGAAGAAGCACCGGCUAACUCCGUGCCAGCAGCCGCGGUAAUACGGAGGGUGCGAGCGUUAAUCGGAAUUACUGGGCGUAAAGCGCGCGUAGGCGGUCUGAUAAGCCGGUUGUGAAAGCCCCGGGCUCAACCUGGGAACGGCAUCCGGAACUGUCAGGCUAGAGUGCAGGAGAGGAAGGUAGAAUUCCCGGUGUAGCGGUGAAAUGCGUAGAGAUCGGGAGGAAUACCAGUGGCGAAGGCGGCCUUCUGGACUGACACUGACGCUGAGGUCCGAAAGCGUGGGUAGCAAACAGGAUUAGAUACCGAGUAGUC